RNAcentral lists this ribosomal RNA (119 nucleotides) under Pteropus alecto (black flying fox). The record is from RNAcentral. Lineage: Eukaryota; Metazoa; Chordata; Mammalia; Chiroptera; Pteropodidae.
GUCUACGACCAUGCCAACCUGAGCAAACCCGAUCCCAUCUGAUCUCGGAAGCUAAGCAGGGUCGGGCCUGGUUAGUACGUGGAUGGGAGACCACCUAGGAAUAUCAGGUGCUGUAGGUA